GCCUGGGUAGCUCAGUUGGUAGAGCAUCAGACUUCUUAUCUGAGGGUCCAGGGUUCAAAUCCCUGUCCAGACA
Ovis aries (sheep) is the source of this 73-nucleotide transfer RNA. It matches the Rfam family "tRNA". From Rfam's summary of the family: Transfer RNA (tRNA) molecules are approximately 80 nucleotides in length. Their secondary structure includes four short double-helical elements and three loops (D, anti-codon, and T loops). Further hydrogen bonds mediate the characteristic L-shaped molecular structure. tRNAs have two regions of fundamental functional importance: the anti-codon, which is responsible for specific mRNA codon recognition, and the 3' end, to which the tRNAs corresponding amino acid is attached (by aminoacyl-tRNA synthetases). tRNAs cope with the degeneracy of the genetic code in two manners: having more than one tRNA (with a specific anti-codon) for a particular amino acid; and 'wobble' base-pairing, i.e. permitting non-standard base-pairing at the 3rd anti-codon position. NCBI's taxonomy places the organism in Eukaryota, Metazoa, Chordata, Mammalia, Artiodactyla, Bovidae. The record is from Rfam.